GAAAGAUAAUGUAUUACCUUUGCCGCGUUUCCCUCGUCGUUUCCCCGUCUUAGAAGGCACAGCUCACCUUUGGGCGAAGCGUAUGAACAGCGGGUAGAAGGUGACCGGACGGCACCGUUGAAUGGCGACGAUACCCCCUUUGUUUUCUCAAAAGACGAUGACGAUGUCGACUUUACUCGCUGGCUUGCUUACACUCGCCCUACCAAUUCUUGCUUCAUAAUUGCCGUUGGAGGCUGGAGAGCAGCGAAAGGUCGCAUCUUUCUGCGGAAGGUUCCCCUUAUUGCCCUAAGGCCUGUGCAUGAGAGUCGAGCAGCUACCUAGCGUUUCCUGUAGCAAGUUAACGGGGCUACGGAGAGCACCGGGGAUCCGGAGAGGAAACGACACCGUUUUGUCUCCGUCUCCAGAAUCAAACAUUUGUCCCCUUCCGUGAUAAGAAGAUCAAAGCCCUCACAGAAGGAGCAUAGAAGGGAGAAAAUUAUGAACGAUCGGAGAAAGGACAAAAAAAUAGUUGAUUGGAAUAAUGAUGUUAAAACACUCAAGUUGUCAUGGCUGAUAGGAGAAUAUGAAGUUCAUUGAGGUCUACAAGUCGAUGCAGUGGCGAUCAAUAAUGAGACUCGUUCUUCUCUCUGGUGCUACAUGUGUUGAAGAAAGGAAACCAAAUCCAUUAUGGCAGCGAUGAAGGCAGGUUGUGAUGCUGCACUCAUGCAUGCCAUCGGUAACUUGGGAUUGAAUCGGCACAAGACUGCAUUGGCCUUCGGUUUGAAGCGAGUGGCUUUGCAGUCUGGAGAAAUCCUCACAUGGUUCUCUACCAAUCUUAGUAAAGCAACAUCCACACCUACUGAACUACUGCAGCAGCCUGUUCUGACCAUUCCAUAUACUGGAUUAUGCCGAGUCUGAAGCCAAUUUGUAAUAGCUAAUAGGAUAUUUUCAGGUUGCUCCUGUGGAUUAUUCGUAUAGUAAGUACCAUUGGGCUUGUUCAUGAGUUUGUCAUGCAUAUAAACUUUCUUGUCCAGGAAAGAUGUACUUGGAUUUUAGUAUGUCUUUCUGGUGAUUCAAAUGUAUCAAUGUAAGAAGUUUGUGUGAUGGUAUUUUUGCGAUA
Musa acuminata subsp. malaccensis (wild Malaysian banana) is the source of this 1099-nucleotide long non-coding RNA. RefSeq lists it as uncharacterized. The record is from RefSeq and is a predicted model, not a curated record. NCBI's taxonomy places the organism in Eukaryota, Viridiplantae, Streptophyta, Magnoliopsida, Zingiberales, Musaceae.